Small nuclear RNA from Otolemur garnettii (small-eared galago), 104 nucleotides. Lineage: Eukaryota; Metazoa; Chordata; Mammalia; Primates; Galagidae. The record is from Ensembl.
GUGCCUGCUUGAGCAGCACAUAUACUAGAACUGAAAUAAUGCAGGGAAGAUUAGCACCCCUGAACAAGGGUGACAGGCAAAUUCAUGAGGCAUUCCAUAUUUUU